AUGACUUCGAGCCCUUGCAGC
RNAcentral lists this unclassified non-coding RNA (21 nucleotides) under Chlamydomonas reinhardtii. RNAcentral describes it as "small RNA Cre_0717". Lineage: Eukaryota; Viridiplantae; Chlorophyta; Chlorophyceae; Chlamydomonadales; Chlamydomonadaceae. The record is from RNAcentral.